GACGAACGCUGGCGGCGCGCCUAACACAUGCAAGUCGAACGAGCGAGAGGAAGCUUGCUUUCUCGAGCGAGUGGCGAACGGGUGAGUAACGCGUGAGAAACCUGCCUCAAAGAGGGGAACAACAGUUGGAAACGACUGCUAAUACCGCAUAAGCCCACGGGUCGGCAUCGACCAGAGGGAAACGGAGCAAUCCGCUUUGAGAUGGCCUCGGGUCCGAUUAGCUGGUUGGUGAGGUAACGGCCCACCAAGGCGACGAUCGGUAGCCGGACUGAGAGGUUGAACGGCCACAUUGGGGCUGAGACACGGCCCAGACUCCUACGGGAGGCAGCAGUGGGGAAUAUUGCACAAUGGGGGAAACCCUGAUGCAGCGACGCCGCGUGGAGGAAGAAGGUCUUCGGAUUGUAAACUCCUGCUGUUGAGGAAGAUAAUGACGGUACUCAACAAGGAAGUGACGGCUAACUACGUGCCAGCCGCCGCAGUAA
Molecule: ribosomal RNA, 482 nt
Filed under: uncultured bacterium
Lineage: Bacteria
Description: partial 16S ribosomal RNA
Rfam family: Bacterial small subunit ribosomal RNA
Source: RNAcentral